RNAcentral lists this ribosomal RNA (364 nucleotides) under uncultured Leptolyngbya sp. RNAcentral's name for it is "bacterial SSU rRNA". It matches the Rfam family "Bacterial small subunit ribosomal RNA", at positions 380 to 758 of the family's 1533-position model. The record is from RNAcentral. Lineage: Bacteria; Bacillati; Cyanobacteriota; Cyanophyceae; Leptolyngbyales; Leptolyngbyaceae.
AGCUUGACGGAGUCAUACCGCGUGCGGGACGACGCUCUAGGGAGUGUAAACCGCUUUUGACAGGGAAGAAUCCAUGACGGUACCUGUCGAAUCAGCCUCGGCUAACUCCGUGCCAGCAGCCGCGGUAAUACGGAGGAGGCAAGCGUUAUCCGGAAUUAUUGGGCGUAAAGCGUCCGCAGGUGGUUGGUCAAGUCAGCUGUUAAAGCGUGGGGCUUAACUCCAUAAGGGCAGUUGAAACUGACUAGCUAGAGUGCGAUAGGGGCAAGGGGGAAUUCCCAGUGUAGCGGUGAAAUGCGUAGAUAUUGGGAAGAACACCGGUGGCGAAAGCGCUCUGCUAGGCUGUACCUGACAUUGAUGAACGAAA